GAUGAACGCUGGCGGCGUGCCUAAUACAUGCAAGUCGAGCGAACGGACGAGAAGCCUGCUUCUCUGAUGUUAGCGGCGGACGGGUGAGUAACACGUGGAUAACCUACCUAUAAGACUGGGAUAACUUCGGGAAACCGGAGCUAAUACCGGAUAAUAUUUUGAACCGCAUGGUUCAAAAGUGAAAGACGGUCUUGCUGUCACUUAUAGAUGGAUCCGCGCUGCAUUAGCUAGUUGGUAAGGUAACGGCUUACCAAGGCAACGAUGCAUAGCCGACCUGAGAGGGGGGUCGGCCACACUGGAACUGAGACACCGUCCAGACUCCUAAGGGAGGCAGCAGUAGGGAAUCUUCCGCAAUGGGCGGAAGCCUGACGGAGCAACGCCGCGUGAGUUAUGGAGGUCUUCGGAUCGUAAAACUCUGUUAUUAGGGAAGAACAUAUGUGUAAGUAACUGUGCACAUCUUGACGGUACCUAAUCAGAAAGCCACGGCUAACUACAUG
RNAcentral lists this ribosomal RNA (497 nucleotides) under uncultured bacterium. Its description in RNAcentral is "partial 16S ribosomal RNA". It matches the Rfam family "Bacterial small subunit ribosomal RNA", at positions 28 to 507 of the family's 1533-position model. The record is from RNAcentral.